CACAAGAAGGAGACCAGGAGCACUUCAUACAGAGACCUGGAGGGGGUGGGGAUUCAGGAAUGCCUCUUUUGGUCUCUGAGCAGUAGGGAGGACCAAAUGACAGCAAGCUCUGCUGGGGUCACAGCUCCUAUGUUCCAUCUCACCUGAGGUGAUGCCGUCUGCCUUGGCGCCCUGCUAACCUGUUACAGCAUCCCAGUUCAUUCUUUUUAAAGGGUACCCCUUUCUGCCUACGUAAGCCUGGCACCUGAAAAUCAGACUGGGCUUCCUAUGUCUGAAGGAUUUGGUCCUGUCUCAUAGCUCCUUGCUCCCCUGACCACCAUGAUGAUUCAAAUGUAUCCAGAAUUCCAGAAGUGGCACAGUGAGUCCUAGGUGCAAACAAGGAGGCACUGUGUGCCUCCAGCAAGAGGAAGGCCUGUUUAGUUUUUUUGUUGUUUUGUUUUUUUUAUAGGAAGUACGAGCAGCUGCUCGGAAGAGGCUGGCUCCAUGCUGAGGCCUGCAAGUUUGGGGAGUUCCUUCAGUCUUUUAGAGCUCUUAACAUGAUUUUGACAUGAGAGAUUUUCACAAGUCAGCAGGAAGAAGUUGGAGUUUAUUCAAAACAGAAAGGUGCCCUUGGUAAAAUACAGAGCAGGAUACAUACAUACUCAAGAGCAGUACCUGAGGCUAUACAGUGACUACGCAGGUCCUUUGGAUGGGACCACAGGCUGAAGGUAAAACCAGAGGCGGCUAGAAAGUGGCAGGUCUACAGUUUGCAGAAGAGGGGCCUUCAGGAAAUGCUGAUUAUGUUGGAGUUCUUGACUUAAAGCUGGUGAGCAUCUUCCAGGGUGAGGAAUGCUUUUCCUUCCCAGGGAUACAUGGAGCCCAGGGAGCUGAGUCGUGUUUAAGUGGGGAGACUUAGGACAGCCUGAGUCCAGACUGAGGGUGACUAUCAUAGGAAGGAGUCAAACAGAACCUCCUGGAGCCCUGAGGACCACAUGGGAAGAGAUUCACCUGCUCAGUGCAUAGCCACUAGGGAAAACAGGUCAUACUCAAUACCCUGGGUCCCCAAAGGGCUGGGGACUUUCUUGGACCCAGGGCAGUUCCUUCACCAUGAGGGAGAACGUCUUAGGUUCAGCGGUUUGGUCCUGAAAUCUCAGGGUCUGUCCUAUCUAUUACCAGGAGGUCACAGUCAGGUAUUUGGCUUCUGCAGUGGAACCAGAGCUAAGGGCUUUGUCCUGCCAACCUGUUACUGGAAGUCUAUACAACCACCCAUAGAGCAGGCAAUGCUCAGGGGAUAGAAGCAUCUUGGGAGACAAAACUAGAGGUGGAUGCACCAGCGCAUGCACAAGGACCAGGGUGUCAUCGACUGCUUCUAAAGGUGCCAGGACCCAUCCAUCUCUCAGGGCAGCACUGUUCUCAUUCCCCAAGGGUCAGAGAGGAGCUUCUAGAAUCUAGUAAUUUUGUUUUCUUGGAGGGUUUCACUGUGUAGCCCUGGCUGUCUUGGAACUCAUUCUGGAGACCAGGCUGUCCUGACCUGGAUCACCAGGAGAUUCUCCUGCCUCUGGAUUAAUGGUGGACCCGCCCGCUGGGAUUAAAGGUGUGUGUCACCACUGGACAUCCAUCUCGCCUAGUCAUUUUAGACACAGUGUAUUCUUAAAUUAGGCCUCAGUGCUCUGGGAACUCUUACUGGGGUUCUAUCUGCCCAGAGCAGGAGGCCAGAAACCUGAAUCUUGAAGAUGAGGCCUCUUCCCCACUCAGACAGGAGGGCUGAGGGUAGAGCCUGUUCCCCUUAGACAGCAAGGGUGAAGAUGGACCUGAACAGGACCCAGCUGGGGGUAACAGUAGAGGUAUCAUAGUGUGCUCACAACUGGGUGUAUUUUACAAAGUCCCACUGGACAGAUGUGUAAGUAUAAUAUCUGUGACGAGGUCAGGGUCCAGGCCUCAGGGUGUGGCGCAGCUGUGAGGUGUGUGUUGCUGCUGAGUGAAGACUGGGGAGAUAGAUAGCUGGGCCCUCAGUGUUUCUAGCUUCUUGGCGCUGUCAGAAAUCAGAGAAGUACUGAGAAAAAGCUUUACUUUGGGUAAAGGGAUGCACUCAAAGGCUGGGAGCAUGCUUUUUUUUUUUUUUUUUUAAAUAGACAGGAGUUCUGGCUGGUCUAGAACUAUGUAGACCUGGCUGGCCAGGAACUCAGAGAGAUCCACCUGCUCUGCCGAUGAGUGCUGAGAUUAAAGGCAUAUCUCACUAUUUCUGGCCUAUGGCUCAACUUUUAUGGGGGUGUGGAUUGAUUUGUCACAAGUUAAGGUGGGGUGAGAGGAGGGAAAUCUCUGGGAGGUCAGGAUUUUUUUUUCUCCAAAGGAGUCCCCUCCCUCCGUUGCCCUUAUGCAUAAUGGGAGCAGGAGAUUUUAUAAUUCUGACGAUACAAAGACGUUAUUAUAAUGAAGCAAAAGAUAGGUCGUGGUCACCUGGUUAAUUUGGGAUGGUCUUGUUUUUUUCCGAGUAGUCACAUGUCCUGUUGUCAUCCAGCUCUGAGUUUUUGUCAGCCCUGCCACUGCAGCUUACCUCUUGUUUCCCUGUACCUUCUCUAGCUCAUCUCAUGGGUAAGCCAUGGCGGGAUAGAUGGCUCAGCAGUUAAGAGCAUGUACUGCUCCUACAGAAGAGCCAGGUGGAAUCCUGGCACCCACAUCGGGCAGCUCACCUGUAACCCCAGAUCUAGAAAUUUGACACUACUAGCCUCUGGGCACCUGCAACUCAUGUACUGGAGAUCAAAUGACAAGGAAGCUUGGAGAAAGUCACUUGCGAUCCAGAUGCUCUGACUAGGUCUCUGUCGACCUCCUUGUCCACUGCAGCCUCUCUACACAUCUGGGAACCCUCUCUCCACUUUCACAUACAUCUCCUGGAGGGCUCACCACUGCUUGCGUGCUGUCUAGUGAUCCUAACGAGCACACAAGCAGGCGCAACCAAGGCGUCUGGCCCAAGCAACUGAGGGAGGCUGGGCAGUGGUGGUGUGAAAGAUAUAGCUCUUACAAAGGAUUUGAGCUGGGAUGACCCUGAGGUUCCUCUUUACC
Psammomys obesus (fat sand rat) is the source of this 3039-nucleotide long non-coding RNA. RefSeq lists it as uncharacterized. The record is from RefSeq and is a predicted model, not a curated record. The transcript has 3 exons. NCBI's taxonomy places the organism in Eukaryota, Metazoa, Chordata, Mammalia, Rodentia, Muridae.